UACGUAGGGUGCAAGCGUUAAUCGGAAUUACUGGGCGUAAAGCGUGCGCAGGCGGUUAUGCAAGACAGAUGUGAAAUCCCCGGGCUCAACCUGGGAACUGCAUUUGUGACUGCAUGACUAGAGUACGGCAGAGGGGGAUGGAAUUCCGCGUGUAGCAGUGAAUGCGUAGAUAUGCGGAGGAACACCGAUGGCGAAGGCAAUCCCCUGGGCCUGUACUGACGCUCAUGCACGAAAGCGUGGGGAGCAAACAGG
This 252-nucleotide ribosomal RNA is filed under the name uncultured bacterium. Its description in RNAcentral is "partial 16S ribosomal RNA". It matches the Rfam family "Bacterial small subunit ribosomal RNA", at positions 524 to 776 of the family's 1533-position model. The record is from RNAcentral.